RNAcentral lists this ribosomal RNA (522 nucleotides) under Staphylococcus aureus. RNAcentral describes it as "bacterial SSU rRNA". It matches the Rfam family "Bacterial small subunit ribosomal RNA", at positions 202 to 716 of the family's 1533-position model. The record is from RNAcentral. Lineage: Bacteria; Bacillati; Bacillota; Bacilli; Caryophanales; Staphylococcaceae.
GACGGUCUUGCUGUCACUUAUAGAUGGAUCCGCGCUGCAUUAGCUAGUUGGUAAGGUAACGGCUUACCAAGGCAACGAUGCAUAGCCGACCUGAGAGGGUGAUCGGCCACACUGGAACUGAGACACGGUCCAGACUCCUACGGGAGGCAGCAGUAGGGAAUCUUCCGCAAUGGGCGAAAGCCUGACGGAGCAACGCCGCGUGAGUGAUGAAGGUCUUCGGAUCGUAAAACUCUGUUAUUAGGGAAGAACAUAUGUGUAAGUAACUGUGCACAUCUUGACGGUACCUAAUCAGAAAGCCACGGCUAACUACGUGCCAGCAGCCGCGGUAAUACGUAGGUGGCAAGCGUUAUCCGGAAUUAUUGGGCGUAAAGCGCGCGUAGGCGGUUUUUUAAGUCUGAUGUGAAAGCCCACGGCUCAACCGUGGAGGGUCAUUGGAAACUGGAAAACUUGAGUGCAGAAGAGGAAAGUGGAAUUCCAUGUGUAGCGGUGAAAUGCGCAGAGAUAUGGAGGAACACCAGUGGC